GGAAAGACUUGAAGCUGCUACUGCUAGUGACAGAAAUGCUGGGAAUGAGGAAUUGAAUAAGGUUCGUGAGCUUAGUCAAAGCUAGAAAAUGUGAAAGCAGAACAAGCUUUAGAAAGAGAAAAGUCUCAGAAAGAGCUAAAGCAGCUAAAUGCAGAAAAUGCCAAGUUCCAAUAUCGUAUAACACAUCUUGUUUGAGCACUAAAGGAUGCUGAUUGUAUGUUACAAUCUAAGUG
Molecule: non-coding RNA, 233 nt
Organism: Coffea arabica (coffee)
Lineage: Eukaryota; Viridiplantae; Streptophyta; Magnoliopsida; Gentianales; Rubiaceae
Source: RefSeq, a predicted model, not a curated record